This 331-nucleotide ribosomal RNA is filed under the name Skeletonema marinoi. RNAcentral's name for it is "partial Bacterial small subunit ribosomal RNA". It matches the Rfam family "Bacterial small subunit ribosomal RNA", at positions 1 to 354 of the family's 1533-position model. Lineage: Eukaryota; Bacillariophyta; Thalassiosirophyceae; Thalassiosirales; Thalassiosiraceae. The record is from RNAcentral.
UAAGAGAGUUUGAUCCUGGCUCAGGAUGAACGCUGGCGGUAUGCCUAACACAUGCAAGUCGUACGAGAGUUUUUAACUCUAGUGGCGGACGGGUGAGUAACACGUGAGAAUUUGCCUUUAGGAGGGGGAUAACAAUCGGAAACGAAUGCUAAUACCCCAUAUGCUUUCGAGUGAAAUGGAUUUAUAUUUAUCCGCCUAGAGAGAAGCUCGCGGCUGAUUAGCUUGUUGGUAAGGUAAGAGCUUACCAAGGCGACGAUCAGUAUCUGGUUUGAGAGGACGAUCAGACACACUGGAACUGAGACACGGUCCAGACUCCUACGGGAGGCAGCAG